UCAAAAAAAAUUUUCCCAUACUUCGAUAGUUUCUAGCCAUGGUUUAAGUUUUUAAAAUUAAAAAAAAAUUCCCAUACUUCGUUAGCUUUUAGCCAUGGUUCAAGUUGUCAAAAUUUUCAAAAAAAAUUUUCCCAUACUUCGAUAGUUUCUAGCCAUGGUUUAAGUUUUUAAAAUAAAAAAAAAUUCCCAUACUUCGUUAGCUUUUAGCCAUGGUUCAAGUUGUCAAAAUUUUCAAAAAAAAUUUUCCCAUACUUCGAUAGUUUCUAGCCAUGGUUUAAGUUUUUAAAAUUAAAAAAAAAUUCCCAUACUUCGUUAGCUUUUAGCCAUGGUUCAAGUUGUCAAAAUUUUCAAAAAAAAUUUUCCCAUACUUCGAUAGUUUCUAGCCAUGGUUUAAGAUUUUAAAAUUAAAAAAAAUUCCCAUACUUCGUUAGCUUUUAGCCAUGGUUCAAGUUCUCAAAAUUUUCAAAAAAAAAUUUUCCCAUACUUCGAUAUUUUCUAGCCAUGGUUUAAGUUUUUAAAAUAAAAAAAAAAUUUCCAUUCUUCGUUAGCUUUUAGCCAUGGUUGAAGUUGUCAAAAUUUUCAAAAAAAAUUUUCCUAUACUUCAAUAGUUUCUAGCCAUGGUUUAAGUUUUUAAAAUUAAAAAAAAAUUCCCAUACUUCGUUAGCUUUUAGCCAUGGUUCAAGUUGUCAAAAUUUUCAAAAAAAAUUUUCCCAUACUUCGAUAGUUUCUAGCCAUGGUUUAAGUUUUUAAAAUUAAAAAAAAAUUCCCAUACUUCGUUAGCUUUUAGCCAUGGUUCAAGUUGUCAAAAUUUUCAAAAAAAAUUUUCCCAUACUUCGAUAGUUUCUAGCCAUGGUUUAAGUUUUUAAAAUUAAAAAAAAAUUCCCAUACUUCGUUAGCUUUUAGCCAUGGUUCAAGUUGUCAAAAU
Leptopilina boulardi is the source of this 925-nucleotide long non-coding RNA. RefSeq lists it as uncharacterized. The record is from RefSeq and is a predicted model, not a curated record. The transcript is spliced from 2 exons. NCBI's taxonomy places the organism in Eukaryota, Metazoa, Arthropoda, Insecta, Hymenoptera, Figitidae.